This 478-nucleotide ribosomal RNA is filed under the name uncultured bacterium. RNAcentral's name for it is "partial 16S ribosomal RNA". It matches the Rfam family "Bacterial small subunit ribosomal RNA", at positions 28 to 507 of the family's 1533-position model. The record is from RNAcentral.
GAUGAACGCUGGCGGCGUGCUUAACACAUGCAAGUCGAACGGGAAAUAUUUCAUUGAGACUUCGGUGGAUUUGAUUUAUUUCUAGUGGCGGACGGGUGAGUAACGCGUGGGUAACCUGCCUUAUACAGGGGGAUAACAGUCAGAAAUGGCUGCUAAUACCGCAUAAGCGCACAGAGCUGCAUGGCUCAGUGUGAAAAACUCCGGUGGUAUAAGAUGGACCCGCGUUGGAUUAGCUAGUUGGUGGGGUAAUGGCCCACCAAGGCGACGAUCCAUAGCCGGCCUGAGAGGGUGAACGGCCACAUUGGGACUGAGACACGGCCCAGACUCCUACGGGAGGCAGCAGUGGGGAAUAUUGCACAAUGGGGGAAACCCUGAUGCAGCGACGCCGCGUGAAGGAAGAAGUAUCUCGGUAUGUAAACUUCUAUCAGCAGGGAAGAUAGUGACGGUACCUGACUAAGAAGCCCCGGCUAACUACGUG